GAUGAACGCUGGCGGCGUGCCUAAUACAUGCAAGUCGAGCGAACAGACGAGGAGCUUGCUCCUCUGACGUUAGCGGCGGACGGGUGAGUAACACGUGGAUAACCUACCUAUAAGACUGGGAUAACUUCGGGAAACCGGAGCUAAUACCGGAUAAUAUUUUGAACCGCAUGGUUCAAUAGUGAAAGACGGUCUUGCUGUCACUUAUAGAUGGAUCCGCGCUGCAUUAGCUAGUUGGUAAGGUAACGGCUUACCAAGGCAACGAUGCGUAGCCGACCUGAGAGGGUGAUCGGCCACACUGGAACUGAGACACGGUCCAGACUCCUACGGGAGGCAGCAGUAGGGAAUCUUCCGCAAUGGGCGAAAGCCUGACGGAGCAACGCCGCGUGAGUGAUGAAGGUCUUCGGAUCGUAAAACUCUGUUAUUAGGGAAGAACAAAUGUGUAAGUAACUGUGCACGUCUUGACGGUACCUAAUCAGAAAGCCACGGCUAACUACGUG
This 497-nucleotide ribosomal RNA is filed under the name uncultured bacterium. RNAcentral's name for it is "partial 16S ribosomal RNA". It matches the Rfam family "Bacterial small subunit ribosomal RNA", at positions 28 to 507 of the family's 1533-position model. The record is from RNAcentral.